ACGAACGCUGGCGGCGUGCUUAACACAUGCAAGUCGAACGGUGAAGCGCCUUCCUUUUUGGUGGGUGUGGAUGAGUGGCGAACGGGUGAGUAACACGUGAGUAACCUGCCCCCUUCUUCUGGAUAACCGCAUGAAAGUGUGGCUAAUACGGGAUAUUCUGGGUCUGUCGCAUGAUGGGUCUGGGAAAGAUAUUGUUUCGGUGGGGGAUGGGCUCGCGGCCUAUCAGCUUGUUGGUGGGGUGAUGGCCUACCAAGGCGGUGACGGGUAGCCGGUCUGAGAGGGUGGACGGUCACACUGGGACUGAGACACGGCCCAGACUCCUACGGGAGGCAGCAGUGGGGAAUAGUGCACAAUGGGCGCAAGCCUGAUGCAGCGACGCCGCGUGAGGGAUGGAGGCCUUCGGGUUGUGAACCUCUUUCGCCAGUGAAGCAGGCCUGCCUCGUUUGUGGGUGGGUUGACGGUAGCUGGAUAAGAAGCGCCGGCUAACUACGUG
Molecule: ribosomal RNA, 493 nt
Filed under: uncultured bacterium
Lineage: Bacteria
Description: partial 16S ribosomal RNA
Rfam family: Bacterial small subunit ribosomal RNA
Source: RNAcentral